UGUCACUAUACCCCACUCCCUCUAACAUGUAAACUCACUGAGCAGGCCCUCAAUCCCUCUGUUACUGUGUCACUAUACCCCACUCCCUCUAACAUGUAAACUCACUGAGCAUGCCCUCAAUCCCUCUGUUACUGUCACUAUACCCCACUCCCUCUAACAUGUAAACUCACUGAGCAGGCCCUCAAUCCCUCUGUUACUGUGUCACUAUACCCCACUCCCUCUAACAUGUAAACUCACUGAGCAGGGCCCUCAAUCCCUCUGUUACUGUGUCACUAUACCCCACUCCCUCUAACAUGUAAACUCACUGAGCAGGGCCCUCAAUCCCUCUGUUACUGUGUCACUAUACCCCACUCCCUCUAACAUGUAAACUCACUGAGCAGGCCCUCAAUCCCUCUGUUACU
Pelobates cultripes (western spadefoot toad) is the source of this 401-nucleotide non-coding RNA. NCBI's taxonomy places the organism in Eukaryota, Metazoa, Chordata, Amphibia, Anura, Pelobatidae. The record is from the annotation of a GenBank genome assembly.